UACGGAGGGGGCAAGCGUUGUCCGGAUUUAUUGGGCGUAAAGAGCGUGUAGGCGGCCUGACAGGUCUGCUGUGAAAACUCGAGGCUCAACCUCGAGAUGUCGGCGGAAACCGUCUGGCUAGAGUCCGGAAGAGGAGAGUGGAAUUCCUGGUGUAGCGGUGAAAUGCGCAGAUAUCAGGAAGAACACCUAUGGCGAAGGCAGCUCUCUGGGACGGUACUGACGCUGAGACGCGAAAGCGUGGGGAGCGAACAGG
RNAcentral lists this ribosomal RNA (253 nucleotides) under uncultured bacterium. RNAcentral describes it as "partial 16S ribosomal RNA". It matches the Rfam family "Bacterial small subunit ribosomal RNA", at positions 524 to 776 of the family's 1533-position model. The record is from RNAcentral.